This is a long non-coding RNA of Hyaena hyaena (striped hyena), 1160 nucleotides long. RefSeq lists it as uncharacterized. The transcript is spliced from 3 exons. Lineage: Eukaryota; Metazoa; Chordata; Mammalia; Carnivora; Hyaenidae. The record is from RefSeq and is a predicted model, not a curated record.
GGAAGAUAGAAACCGCCCUGGGCGUGGAGAUUCGCUGUGUACUAUGCAGUUAGAAGUUUAUAAGACAGAAAGCUGAAUGUUACAGCUGUCGAGAGCUUUGCCGGCAUUGUACCUGUGGUGCAUUCUACAAACCUCACUGGGGGCUUAGUCAUGAAGAAGGCAAAAUGAACCGCAAGCCUCUCACCAUACCUGCGCUUACUGCAUCUACCCUGCCAGAGAUUUGGGAUGUCAGCAAGAAGAAAACCCCAGAUCAUUCUUUAUGGACCCAUGCACAGAACUGGCAGUGCUGUGUGGACCUUAUCCUAGGUGGUGUCCAUCCUCCCCAUCCCUGGGUACCUGGGAUCGAUGUUGUCCACACUCAGACGUUUCUCACAGCACCUGAUGGAUGGGGGAUCCGAGCCAAGCAGCCAUCUUCCUGAGUUUGUCAAUGAGAGGCGUCAAAAAGCAGACUCAAUCCAAAAGAGGACACCUUGGAAGGGCCACCAGCCUCUGUCCAGGAGCCCCCUGUCCAGGAGCCCUCAGGAGUGAGGACUGGAGCCUUGGCCUUCGGACCCCUGAGGCAGGCUGCAGCAAGCCCUUCUGGAGAGCAACUCACAGACCUUUGCCUCUAAUUGGCCUCCAUCUCUGCACUCAGCCAUUUCCGCUGCCUGCGGCACAACUCAUAAAAAGCCAGGCUUUCUUCCAUACCUUUGAAAAGUUCAAAGGAACCCAUAUCCUAGGGAGAUCUGGCAACACAGGCACCUGGAUCUGAAGGGACUGAGGGCUCUGGCGCCCCCUCCCCCUGCUUUUUACUGCCUGUCUGUGUCAGUGUCCCAUGCUCCCGGGGAAGGGAGGCUCAAACCCACCAAGGCCAGCUCCGCUCUGUUUUAUGGGAUCAGGCUGUGCUCUUUAACCCUGUCCUGCAUUUUGCAGCAGGAGCCCUCAUGGCCACGAAGCAGGUCACGAAACAGAUGUCAACCCCAUCCUAAAGCAAGCGUGUGAUGAAGCCAGAUUCACUGCUGGUGCAUUGGUCAGCCCUGGUCUGUUUGGAUGCUGCCUCCCUGGCCUUGCUCCGCUCAUGCUUCUGCCCUUCUGUGGGAACCCCGUGUUGCAGUAGGAGGUGGAGCACAGGUGAGCCCAAGAUGUGAAUGUGUUCAGGUUGGGGGUAGGGUUUGCAGGCU